Molecule: transfer RNA, 76 nt
Filed under: Saprospiraceae bacterium
Lineage: Bacteria; Pseudomonadati; Bacteroidota; Saprospiria; Saprospirales; Saprospiraceae
Description: tRNA-Gly
Rfam family: tRNA
About the family: Transfer RNA (tRNA) molecules are approximately 80 nucleotides in length. Their secondary structure includes four short double-helical elements and three loops (D, anti-codon, and T loops). Further hydrogen bonds mediate the characteristic L-shaped molecular structure. tRNAs have two regions of fundamental functional importance: the anti-codon, which is responsible for specific mRNA codon recognition, and the 3' end, to which the tRNAs corresponding amino acid is attached (by aminoacyl-tRNA synthetases). tRNAs cope with the degeneracy of the genetic code in two manners: having more than one tRNA (with a specific anti-codon) for a particular amino acid; and 'wobble' base-pairing, i.e. permitting non-standard base-pairing at the 3rd anti-codon position.
Source: RNAcentral
GCGGAAGUAGCUCAGCUGGUAGAGCGCAACCUUGCCAAGGUUGAGGUCGCGAGUUCGAAUCUCGUUUUCCGCUCCA